GUAGGGUCCGAGCGUUGUCCGGAAUUAUUGGGCGUAAAGGGCUCGUAGGCGGUCCGUCACGUCGGGAGUGAAAACUCAGGGCUCAACCCUGAGCGUGCUUCCGAUACGGGCGGACUAGAGGUAUGCAGGGGAGAACGGAAUUCCUGGUGUAGCGGUGGAAUGCGCAGAUAUCAGGAGGAACACCGGUGGCGAAGGCGGUUCUCUGGGCAUUACCUGACGCUGAGGAGCGAAAGCAUGGGGAGCGAACAGGAUUAGAUACCCUGGUAGUCCAUGCCGUAAACGUUGGGCGCUAGGUGUGGGGUCCUUCCACGGAUUCCGUGCCGCAGCUAACGCAUUAAGCGCCCCGCCUGGGGAGUACGGCCGCAAGGCUAAA
Molecule: ribosomal RNA, 373 nt
Filed under: uncultured bacterium
Lineage: Bacteria
Description: bacterial SSU rRNA
Rfam family: Bacterial small subunit ribosomal RNA
Source: RNAcentral